AUUUAUGCCUGUCUCUAAUAAAAAUACAAAAUUAGCUUGGCGUGGUGGUGCACACCUGCAAUCCCAGCUACUCGGGAGGCUGAGACAGGAAAAUCACUUGAAUCUGGGAGGCAGAGGUUGCAGUAAGCCUGCAAGUUUCUUGUAUCAAUUCGAACCCCGAGAGUGCGCCAACAAACAACACGAGGCAAUGUGGAGCAACACGCUGUUUUCAUGAGCGCCUGGGUGCAGGCGCGCUGGGGUCUAAAAGGGCAUCAGCCCCAAGUGAGGACGGGACAUGGGUUUCAUAGUCCACUGUAAACAGGAAGUGUCCCAGUCUGACGUGACUGCUACGUAGUACCCGGACAGCCUCCCUCUGGAUCUUCAGGGGCCUUAUUGUACCGGCUAGAAACCUCAGUACGAUGUGGCAUAAUAGUGACUGAAUGGAAGUGUGAGUGAUCAAUACUACUGGGCUGUGGUGAAAGUCCUGAUACUCUACAAUGUUUCCUCUGACACCAUCCAAAAGAGGAAGACAUGAGAAGGGAACCUGAGAACACUGCUUAGGUAGCAAUCUGUAUUCCUCGCUGUGGUCACUGCUUUUCCAGAGGGGUAUGGGUUUGCCUGGCUAUUGCCUGGUAGGGAUGUAAGGUCUGGACUUAUAACUAUAUUUCUUUGAUACCACCUUAGUAAGAGUUCUGGGGUGUCUAAUUUUGGCCUGAAGAGCAUGAAAUCUUAAAUUUCCUACUAGGUCUGUUGUGGUAUGGGUACAAAUAGGGGGACUUAUAUUUUUUCUGAAAUAUUUGUCUGUAUAGUGCAAUUAUUGUCUAAAGGUUUUGUCUGUACCCUUUGGUAUUUCCAGUUGUCAGUUUCUUUGGCUCUAAAUUCAUGAUAUAGAAAGAAAAACAAACAAAAAGAAAAACAAGGAUCUCACUAUCCUGUAGUUCCUUGGGUCCAGAGGUCUCUAUUUAGUCCUGUUUUUUCUCUGCCUUUCAGAGUCUUCUUAUAAUUUUCAUAUGUAUUGCCUAAGGUUUUUAUUUGUACUUAGCAGAAAGAGUAGGGAAAAUACAACUACUGCAACUUUCUAGAAGUCUUAUAAAAUCUUUUUAAGCAUAAAAACCGUAAAGUCAUAUAUACUUGUGUGUCCAUUAAUCUAUAUUAUCUGUAUUUUGUACAUGUAUAGAGAGGUUUCUAACAAUAUUUGAAAAAUUUAACUAUAUCUGCUGUUUUAAGUACCAACUCGUUAUUUCAUCCACUCAAAGUUAAACUUUUAAUCAUGUAUGUGUUAUUCUGUUCUCUGUCAUCUGCAAAUUUGGUAUUUUCCAUAGAUUGAUUAAAAUUAUUGAUAAAAUGUUGAUAAAACAGAAGAUAGGACUCCAGAUAAAGCUAUGACAUACUGUAUUUUAUCAAUUACUUAUUUAUAUGUACAUCCAGCAACUGCUUUUUCAAUGUUUUUUCAUGACCAGUGAUUGUAUUAAUUAAUGGCCAUAAAAAUCUAAAAAGCAAACAAAAACACAAAAACAAAAAUACAAACAAACAAAAAAUGAAAACCACCUUCUAUUCCCCGAAGUUUAUACAUCUGGUAAGUGAAGUAGAGAGAUGCUCAUGCAUGC
This 1586-nucleotide long non-coding RNA is filed under the name Homo sapiens (human). RNAcentral describes it as "HSALNT0081438". The record is from RNAcentral. Lineage: Eukaryota; Metazoa; Chordata; Mammalia; Primates; Hominidae.